This is a non-coding RNA of Acanthosepion pharaonis, 104 nucleotides long. The record is from the annotation of a GenBank genome assembly. Lineage: Eukaryota; Metazoa; Mollusca; Cephalopoda; Sepiida; Sepiidae.
UUACGGCCACAUCACGUUGAAACACCCGUUCACUGAAGUUAAGUAACGUUGAGCCUAGUCAUUACCUAGAUGGGUGACCGCUUGGGAAUAUCAGGUGCUGCAAU